GAUGAACGAUGGCGGCGUGCCUAAUACAUGCAAGUCGAGCGAACGGACGAGAAGCUUGCUUCUCUGAUGUUAGCGGCGGACGGGUGAGUAACACGUGGAUAACCUACCUAUAAGACUGGGAUAACUUCGGGAAACCGGAGCUAAUACCGGAUGAUAUUUUGAACCGCAUGGUUCAAAAGUGAAAGACGGUCUUGCUGUCACUUAUAGAUGGAUCCGCGCUGCAUUAGCUAGUUGGUAAGGUAACGGCUUACCAAGGCAACGAUGCAUAGCCGACCUGAGAGGGUGAUCGGCCACACUGGAACUGAGACACGGUCCAGACUCCUACGGGAGGCAGCAGUAGGGAAUCUUCCGCAAUGGGCGAAAGCCUGACGGAGCAACGCCGCGUGAGUGAUGAAGGUCUUCGGAUCGUAAAACUCUGUUAUUAGGGAAGAACAUAUGUGUAAGUAACUGUGCACAUCUUGACGGUACCUGAUCAGAAAGCCACGGCUAACUACGUG
RNAcentral lists this ribosomal RNA (497 nucleotides) under uncultured bacterium. RNAcentral's name for it is "partial 16S ribosomal RNA". It matches the Rfam family "Bacterial small subunit ribosomal RNA", at positions 28 to 507 of the family's 1533-position model. The record is from RNAcentral.